RNAcentral lists this ribosomal RNA (253 nucleotides) under uncultured bacterium. RNAcentral describes it as "partial 16S ribosomal RNA". It matches the Rfam family "Bacterial small subunit ribosomal RNA", at positions 524 to 776 of the family's 1533-position model. The record is from RNAcentral.
UACGAAGGACCCGAGCGUUAUCCGGAUUUAUUGGGUUUAAAGGGUGCGUAGGCGGAUUAUUAAGUCAGUGGUGAAAACCUUCAGCUUAACUGAAGAAUUGCCAUUGAUACUGAUGAUCUUGAGUAUGAUUGAGGUGGGCGGAAUGUGUCAUGUAGCGGUGAAAUGCUUAGAUAUGACACAGAACACCGAUUGCGAAGGCAGCUCACUAAGCCAUAACUGACGCUGAUGCACGAAAGCGUGGGGAGCAAACAGG